This 273-nucleotide ribosomal RNA is filed under the name uncultured bacterium. RNAcentral's name for it is "partial 16S ribosomal RNA". It matches the Rfam family "Bacterial small subunit ribosomal RNA", at positions 524 to 796 of the family's 1533-position model. The record is from RNAcentral.
UACGAGAGGCCCAAACGUUAUUCGGAUUUACUGGGCUUAAAGAGUUCGUAGGCGGCGCGGAAAGUAGGGUGUGAAAGCCCUCGGCUCAACCGAGGAAUUGCGCUCUAAACUGUCGUGCUUGAGGAACCUAGAGGUGAGCGGAACUGAUGGUGGAGCGGUGAAAUGCGUUGAUAUCAUCAGGAACACCGGAGGCGAAGGCGGCUCACUGGGGGUUAUCUGACGCUGAGGAACGAAAGCCAGGGGAGCAAACGGGAUUAGAUACCCCCGUAGUCC